UGGAUCAUGGCUCAGAUUGAACGCUGGCGGCAGGCCUAACACAUGCAAGUCGAGCGGAAACGAGUUAUCUGAACCUUCGGGGAACGAUAACGGCGUCGAGCGGCGGACGGGUGAGUAAUGCCUAGGAAAUUGCCCUGAUGUGGGGGAUAACCAUUGGAAACGAUGGCUAAUACCGCAUAAUGCCUACGGGCCAAAGAGGGGGACCUUCGGGCCUCUCGCGUCAGGAUAUGCCUAGGUGGGAUUAGCUAGUUGGUGAGGUAAUGGCUCACCAAGGCGACGAUCCCUAGCUGGUCUGAGAGGAUGAUCAGCCACACUGGAACUGAGACACGGUCCAGACUCCUACGGGAGGCAGCAGUGGGGAAUAUUGCACAAUGGGCGCAAGCCUGAUGCAGCCAUGCCGCGUGUGUGAAGAAGGCCUUCGGGUUGUAAAGCACUUUCAGUCGUGAGGAAGGUAGUGUAGUUAAUAGCUGCAUUAUUGACGUAGCGACAGA
Molecule: ribosomal RNA, 491 nt
Filed under: Vibrio sp. VibP-Oc-139
Lineage: Bacteria; Pseudomonadati; Pseudomonadota; Gammaproteobacteria; Vibrionales; Vibrionaceae
Description: bacterial SSU rRNA
Rfam family: Bacterial small subunit ribosomal RNA
Source: RNAcentral